UUUCCUUUUGUGCAUUGCAACAUCCUUUCCGACAAUUCAAGAAACAGAUUUUGGAAUUCUUAUAAAUAACAAAAAGAAAUUCGUUUUGGUUUACUUAUAAAUUUCGCACACCCAGCAUAUUGUAGUUCAUUUCAGGUAUUUUUAUAGAGUACUACUAAGAGCUGAAGUUUAAGAGCCGGCAUCAUGAAAGUUGCAGUUUUGCUUUCAGUUGUGAUUUUCUGCGUAGUUUGCAGUCUUACAGAAAGUAGUCAACAGUGUGACACGGCCAAGGGUGAGGUUUACCUGGACUGCCUUGCUAACUGUCCAGCUACUUGUGAGGAUCGACACCCCAGCUGUCCCAAAAAGUGUCGACGUGGUUGCGGCUGUCCUCCAGGAAAAGUUCGAAGAGAACCUGGUGGAAUGUGCAUUGACCCCUCUGAGUGCUGAAACUAAUGUAUCUGAUGUUCGUUUCAUCUAAGUACAGCAUCCGAUGUUCGUUUAAUCUAAUUAAAGCACCCUAUGUUUGUUUUUAAUGUAAGUGUGUUCAAAGAAUAAAUAAAUGAAUAAAUAAAGGAA
Uloborus diversus is the source of this 555-nucleotide long non-coding RNA. RefSeq lists it as uncharacterized. The transcript has 2 exons. NCBI's taxonomy places the organism in Eukaryota, Metazoa, Arthropoda, Arachnida, Araneae, Uloboridae. The record is from RefSeq and is a predicted model, not a curated record.